GCUUUCAUUGGUGUAAGCAGCGGGUUAAAAAUAGGAAGAGAGAGGGAAUCGACCCGGGAAGGAUAAGGGUGCAAUCUGGUUAACCCUCCCAGGGAAGGAGAGAUUUUUCCUCUAGGCUGAGGCCACGGAACCGGUGGGCCGGAGACAUGGAUUUGAUACCCAUUUAUUGCCGACGCAAACUUUGCUGUGGGCAGCUGCUUGAGUACUACGAGCGUGUGCUUAAAACUCAAAGAACUUGGCGGCUAGUUAACUACCCAGGGGAAUAUGCGCCUUAAUCCGAUGAUCCCCGUAUUAUCUUACUGUACCUUGAAAAUAUUCAGCUGGUGUAUUGCCGUAGUCAGCCUGUUGUGCGAGCAAGGAGAAACAGGCCCAAUGGACUUUCUGGUCAAUUAAGUUUUGGCAGGCCCCAUUAAUUCAGGUCGAAAUGCUGCCUAAGGUACAAGGGAGUGGGUGUUACAAUUUUGAUUUUUAAUACGGAUCUUAGAAUAGUGAAAUCUCUAAGUGAAGGUGAACUUGGGAGUAAGGGGAGAUUAAUAUGCUUCCCUGAACAUGAGGCUAACUUGUGUACAAACCGCCCGUCGCUCUCGCCUGAAGGGGAGAUAAGUCGUAACAAGGUAGGGGUA
This 623-nucleotide ribosomal RNA is filed under the name Veprichlamys jousseaumei. RNAcentral's name for it is "partial 12S ribosomal RNA". It matches the Rfam family "Bacterial small subunit ribosomal RNA", at positions 613 to 1504 of the family's 1533-position model. The record is from RNAcentral. Lineage: Eukaryota; Metazoa; Mollusca; Bivalvia; Pectinida; Pectinidae.